CCUACGGGCGGCAGCAGUGAGGAAUAUUGGUCAAUGGGCGAGAGCCUGAACCAGCCAAGUCGCGUGAAGGAUGACGGACCUAUGGUUUGUAAACUUCUUUUAUAUGGGAAUAAAGUGAGGAACGUGUUCCUUUUUGUAUGUACCUUAUGAAUAAGCAUCGGCUAACUCCGUGCCAGCAGCCGCGGUAAUACGGAGGAUGCGAGCGUUAUCCGGAUUUAUUGGGUUUAAAGGGAGCGUAGGUGGUUUGUUAAGUCAGCUGUGAAAGUUUGGGGCUCAACCAUAAAAUUGCAGUUGAUACUGGUUGACUUGAGUAUAUUUGAGGUAGGCGGAAUUCGUGGUGUAGCGGUGAAAUGCAUAGAUAUCACGCAGAACUCCGAUUGCGAAGGCAGCUUACUAAACUGUAACUGACACUGAAGCACGAAAGUGUGGGGAUCAAACAGGAUUAGAUACCCUUGUAGUC
Molecule: ribosomal RNA, 460 nt
Filed under: uncultured bacterium
Lineage: Bacteria
Description: partial 16S ribosomal RNA
Rfam family: Bacterial small subunit ribosomal RNA
Source: RNAcentral